Molecule: ribosomal RNA, 465 nt
Filed under: Vreelandella stevensii
Lineage: Bacteria; Pseudomonadati; Pseudomonadota; Gammaproteobacteria; Oceanospirillales; Halomonadaceae
Description: partial 16S ribosomal RNA
Rfam family: Bacterial small subunit ribosomal RNA
Source: RNAcentral
CCUACGGGUGGCAGCAGUGGGGAAUAUUGGACAAUGGGCGAAAGCCUGAUCCAGCCAUGCCGCGUGUGUGAAGAAGGCCUUCGGGUUGUAAAGCACUUUCAGUGGGGAAGAAAGCCUUGGGGCUAAUACCCUCGAGGAAGGACAUCACCCACAGAAGAAGCACCGGCUAACUCCGUGCCAGCAGCCGCGGUAAUACGGAGGGUGCGAGCGUUAAUCGGAAUUACUGGGCGUAAAGCGCGCGUAGGCGGUCUGAUAAGCCGGUUGUGAAAGCCCCGGGCUCAACCUGGGAACGGCAUCCGGAACUGUCAGGCUAGAGUGCGGGAGAGGAAGGUAGAAUUCCCGGUGUAGCGGUGAAAUGCGUAGAGAUCGGGAGGAAUACCAGUGGCGAAGGCGGCCUUCUGGACUGACACUGACGCUGAGGUGCGAAAGCGUGGGUAGCAAACAGGAUUAGAUACCCGAGUAGUC